RNAcentral lists this transfer RNA (70 nucleotides) under Neocucumis proteus. RNAcentral describes it as "tRNA-Gln". It matches the Rfam family "tRNA". Rfam says of the family: Transfer RNA (tRNA) molecules are approximately 80 nucleotides in length. The record is from RNAcentral. Lineage: Eukaryota; Metazoa; Echinodermata; Holothuroidea; Dendrochirotida; Cucumariidae.
UGAGAAAUAGUUUAAGGAAAAAUAAGGGAUUUUGAUACCCUUGAUGAGAGGUCAUUUCUCUCUUUCUCAG